RNAcentral lists this ribosomal RNA (253 nucleotides) under uncultured bacterium. RNAcentral's name for it is "partial 16S ribosomal RNA". It matches the Rfam family "Bacterial small subunit ribosomal RNA", at positions 524 to 776 of the family's 1533-position model. The record is from RNAcentral.
UACGUAGGGGGCAAGCGUUGUCCGGAAUUAUUGGGCGUAAAGAGCGUGUAGGCGGCCAGAUAAGUCCGCUGUGAAAUCUCGAGGCUCAACUUCGAGCUGUCGGUGGAAACUAUCUGGCUAGAGUCCGGAAGAGGAGAAUGGAAUUCCUGGUGUAGCGGUGAAAUGCGCAGAUAUCAGGAAGAACACCCGUGGCGAAGGCGGUUCUCUGGGCCUGACCUGACGCUGAGGAGCGAAAGCGUGGGGAGCGAACAGG